This 74-nucleotide transfer RNA is filed under the name Spirochaetaceae bacterium. Its description in RNAcentral is "tRNA-Arg". It matches the Rfam family "tRNA". Rfam says of the family: Transfer RNA (tRNA) molecules are approximately 80 nucleotides in length. Their secondary structure includes four short double-helical elements and three loops (D, anti-codon, and T loops). The record is from RNAcentral. Lineage: Bacteria; Pseudomonadati; Spirochaetota; Spirochaetia; Spirochaetales; Spirochaetaceae.
GGGCAAUUAGCUCAGAUGGAUAGAGCGUUGGCCUCCGGAGCCAAAGGUCGUGGGUUCGAAUCCCGCAUUGCCCA